This 800-nucleotide ribosomal RNA is filed under the name uncultured soil bacterium. Its description in RNAcentral is "bacterial SSU rRNA". It matches the Rfam family "Bacterial small subunit ribosomal RNA", at positions 9 to 791 of the family's 1533-position model. The record is from RNAcentral.
GAGUUUGAUCCUGGCUCAGGACGAACGCUGGCGGCGUGCCUAAUACAUGCAAGUCGAGCGGACUAACAGGAGCUUGCUCCUGUUAGUUAGCGGCGGACGGGUGAGUAACACGUGGGCAACCUGCCUGUAAGGCUGGGAUAACUUCGGGAAACCGGAGCUAAUACCGGAUAAAUCGUUCCCUCUCAUGAGGGAGCGCUGAAAGAUGGCUUUUAGCUAUCACUUACAGAUGGGCCCGCGGCGCAUUAGCUAGUUGGUGAGGUAACGGCUCACCAAGGCGACGAUGCGUAGCCGACCUGAGAGGGUGAUCGGCCACACUGGGACUGAGACACGGCCCAGACUCCUACGGGAGGCAGCAGUAGGGAAUCUUCCGCAAUGGACGAAAGUCUGACGGAGCAACGCCGCGUGAGUGAUGAAGGUUUUCGGAUCGUAAAACUCUGUUGUCAGGGAAGAACAAGUAUCGGAGUAACUGCCGGUACCUUGACGGUACCUGACCAGAAAGCCACGGCUAACUACGUGCCAGCAGCCGCGGUAAUACGUAGGUGGCAAGCGUUGUCCGGAAUUAUUGGGCGUAAAGCGCGCGCAGGCGGUUUCUUAAGUCUGAUGUGAAAGCCCACGGCUCAACCGUGGAGGGUCAUUGGAAACUGGGGAACUUGAGUGCAGAAGAGGAGAGUGGAAUUCCACGUGUAGCGGUGAAAUGCGUAGAGAUGUGGAGGAACACCAGUGGCGAAGGCGACUCUCUGGUCUGUAACUGACGCUGAGGCGCGAAAGCGUGGGUAGCGAACAGGAUUAGAUACCCUGGU